RNAcentral lists this ribosomal RNA (439 nucleotides) under uncultured bacterium. Its description in RNAcentral is "partial 16S ribosomal RNA". It matches the Rfam family "Bacterial small subunit ribosomal RNA", at positions 342 to 795 of the family's 1533-position model. The record is from RNAcentral.
CGGGCGGCAGCAGCAGUGAGGAAUAUUGCACAAUGGGGGGAACCCUGAUGCAGCAACGCCGCAUGGAGGAUGACGCAUUUCGGUGUGUAAACUCCUUUUAUAUGUCAAGAAAAUGACGGUAGCAUAUGAAUAAGCACCGGCUAACUCCGUGCCAGCAGCCGCGGUAAUACGGAGGGUGCAAGCGUUACUCGGAAUCGCUGGGCGUAAAGGACGCGUAGGCGGGUUGGAAAGUCAGGUGUGAAAUCCUACAGCUUAACUGUAGAACUGCACUUGAAACUUCUAAUCUAGAGUAUGGGAGGGGGAGAUGGAAUUAGUGGUGUAGGGGUAAAAUCCGUAGAUAUCACUAGGAAUACCUAAAGCGAAGGCGAUCUCCUGGAACAUUACUGACGCUAAGGCGUGAAAGCGUGGGGAGCAAACAGGAUUAGAUACCCGUGUAGUC